Small nucleolar RNA from Cercocebus atys (sooty mangabey), 110 nucleotides. Lineage: Eukaryota; Metazoa; Chordata; Mammalia; Primates; Cercopithecidae. The record is from Ensembl.
UGCCCAAUGAUGACACCAUCCUUGCUCCCCGUGCCCCCCAGGGGCUAUGGGCGACACCAUGGCUGCCCUUGGGCUGGGCCAGUGGGGCCAAUGCCCAGGGGCUGAGGGCA